Non-coding RNA from Camellia sinensis, 161 nucleotides. The record is from RefSeq and is a predicted model, not a curated record. Lineage: Eukaryota; Viridiplantae; Streptophyta; Magnoliopsida; Ericales; Theaceae.
AUACUUACCCAGACAGGUCAAUGGGUGAUGAAGAAAGCCUUUGGACUACAUUAGUAACCACGAUUGCACUUUGUAAGGGUGCUUGCCUAAGGUCUACCCGAGUUUCCCAAGCUUAUGUCAUAAUUUGUGAUAGUGGCGAUUUGUGAUUGUGCUGCUCUUGU